Molecule: ribosomal RNA, 1513 nt
Filed under: uncultured bacterium
Lineage: Bacteria
Description: partial 16S ribosomal RNA
Rfam family: Bacterial small subunit ribosomal RNA
Source: RNAcentral
AGAGUUUGAUCCUGGCUCAGAACGAACGCUGGCGGCGUGGAUAAGACAUGCAAGUCGGACGCUGAUUAGAGGGUAGCAAUAUUCUCUAGUUGGAGUGGCGCAAGGGUGCGUAACACGUGGGCAAUCUGCCGUGAAGGUUGGGAUAACUCGCUGAAAGGCGAGCUAAUACCGGAUGUGAUUGUCAGGAGGCAUCUUCUGGCAAUGGAAGCUGGGGACCCACAAGGGCCUGGCACUUCAUGAUGAGCCCGCGGCCUAUCAGCUAGUUGGUGAGGUAACGGCCCACCAAGGCGAAGACGGGUAGCUGGUCUGAGAGGACGACCAGCCACACUGGAACUGAGACACGGUCCAGACACCUACGGGUGGCAGCAGUCGAGAAUUUUUCACAAUGGGCGCAAGCCUGAUGGAGCGACGCCGCGUGGGGGAUGAAGGGUUUCGAUCCGUAAACCCCUGUCAUUUGCGAACAAACCUUGAUUGUGAACAGCGAUCAAGCUGAUUGUAGCGGAAGAGGAAGGGACGGCUAACUCUGUGCCAGCAGCCGCGGUAAUACAGAGGUCCCAAGCGUUGUUCGGAUUCACUGGGCGUAAAGGGUGCGUAGGUGGCCGGUGAAGUUCGGUGUGAAAGCUCGGAGCUCAACUCCGAAAUGGCAUUGAAAACUCAUCGGCUGGAGGGUCGGAGGCGAGUGGAAUUACCAGUGUAGCGGUGAAAUGCGUAGAUACUGGUAGGAACACCUAUUGCGAAGGCAGCUCGCUGGACAGCACGUGACGCUGAGGUGCGAAAGUGUGGGGAGCAAACCGGAUUAGAUACCCGGGUAGUCCACACCCUAAACGAUGCAUACUUGGUGUUGGCCCGUUGGGGUCAGCGCCGGAGCUAACGUGUUAAGUAUGCCGCCUGGGAAGUACGGCCGCAAGGCUAAAACUCAAAGGAAUUGACGGGGACCCGCACAAGCGGUGGAGCAUGUGGUUUAAUUCGAAGCAACGCGAAGAACCUUACCAGGCCUUGACAUCCUGAGAACCCUCCCGAAAAGGAGGGGUGCCCUUCGGGGAGCUCAGUGACAGGUGCUGCAUGGCUGUCGUCAGCUCGUGUCGUGAGAUGUUCGGUUAAGUCCGGCAACGAGCGCAACCCUCGCCAUUAGUUGCUAGCAAUUCGGUUGAGCACUCUAAUGGGACCGCCUACGAAAGUAGGAGGAAGGCGGGGAUGACGUCUGGUCAGCAUGGUCCUUACGGCCUGGGCGACACACGUGCUACAAUGGCCGGUACAACGCGCAGCCACCUCGCGAGAGGGAGCUAAUCGUCAAAGCCGGUCCCAGUUCGGAUUGCAGUCUGCAACUCGACUGCAUGAAGUUGGAAUCGCUAGUAAUCGCGGAUCAGCCAUGCCGCGGUGAAUACGUUCCCGGGUCUUGUACACACCGCCCGUCAAACCAUGGGAGUAGGUUGCACCCGAAGACACGUAGUCUCGUCAAUGGGACGCGUGUUUAAGGUGUGGCUUAUGACUGGGGUUAAGUCGUAACAAGGUA